Fukomys damarensis (Damara mole-rat) is the source of this 110-nucleotide small nuclear RNA. Lineage: Eukaryota; Metazoa; Chordata; Mammalia; Rodentia; Bathyergidae. The record is from Ensembl.
AUGCUCACUUCAGCAGCACAUAUACUAAAAGUGGGAUGAUACAGAAAAGAUUAGCAGGGCCCCUUGCACACAAGGAUGACACGCAAAUUCGUGAAGCGUUCCGUAUUUUU